ACACUCUGGAGAAUUCAUUCAGUUGAAUGCCGAAGGUGCAAGGCGAGAGCCGAAUCUCUCAGGCAAACAGACAGAGCAG
RNAcentral lists this non-coding RNA (79 nucleotides) under human gut metagenome. RNAcentral describes it as "Glycine riboswitch". It matches the Rfam family "Glycine riboswitch aptamer", at positions 9 to 86 of the family's 94-position model. From Rfam's summary of the family: This family represents the bacterial glycine riboswitch. Glycine riboswitches usually consist of two metabolite-binding aptamers domains with similar structures in tandem. The record is from RNAcentral.